GUGCUCGCUUCGGCAGCACAUACCCUAAAAUUGGAACAAUACAGGGAAGAUUAGCAUGGCCCCGCACAAGGAAGACAAAUUUGUGAAGCAUUCCAUAUUUUU
This is a small nuclear RNA of Cavia aperea (Brazilian guinea pig), 102 nucleotides long. Lineage: Eukaryota; Metazoa; Chordata; Mammalia; Rodentia; Caviidae. The record is from Ensembl.